This 256-nucleotide ribosomal RNA is filed under the name uncultured bacterium. RNAcentral's name for it is "partial 16S ribosomal RNA". It matches the Rfam family "Bacterial small subunit ribosomal RNA", at positions 521 to 776 of the family's 1533-position model. The record is from RNAcentral.
UAAAACGUAGGACACGAGCGUUAUCCGGAGUUACUGGGCGUAAAGGGCGUGCAGGCGGUUGCGUAAGACUGAUGUGAAAGCGCCCGGCUUAACCGGGCGAGGACAUUGGUGACUGCGUAACUUGAGGCAGAUAGAGGGGUGUAGAAUUCCGGGUGUAGUGGUGAAAUGCGUAGAGAUCCGGAGGAAUACCAGAGGCGAAGGCGGCACCCUGGGUCUGACCUGACGCUGAGACGCGACAGCAUGGGGAGCGAACGGG